This 73-nucleotide transfer RNA is filed under the name Canis lupus familiaris (dog). It matches the Rfam family "tRNA". From Rfam's summary of the family: Transfer RNA (tRNA) molecules are approximately 80 nucleotides in length. Their secondary structure includes four short double-helical elements and three loops (D, anti-codon, and T loops). Further hydrogen bonds mediate the characteristic L-shaped molecular structure. tRNAs have two regions of fundamental functional importance: the anti-codon, which is responsible for specific mRNA codon recognition, and the 3' end, to which the tRNAs corresponding amino acid is attached (by aminoacyl-tRNA synthetases). tRNAs cope with the degeneracy of the genetic code in two manners: having more than one tRNA (with a specific anti-codon) for a particular amino acid; and 'wobble' base-pairing, i.e. permitting non-standard base-pairing at the 3rd anti-codon position. Lineage: Eukaryota; Metazoa; Chordata; Mammalia; Carnivora; Canidae. The record is from Rfam by way of RNAcentral. RNAcentral also lists the same sequence under 1 other name.
GCCAGGCUGGCUCAGUCAGUAGAGCAUGUGACUCUUGAUCUCAGAGUUGUGAGUUCAAGGUCCACGUUGGGCA